RNAcentral lists this ribosomal RNA (467 nucleotides) under uncultured bacterium. Its description in RNAcentral is "partial 16S ribosomal RNA". It matches the Rfam family "Bacterial small subunit ribosomal RNA", at positions 28 to 506 of the family's 1533-position model. The record is from RNAcentral.
GACGAACGCUGGCGACGUGCUUAACACAUGCAAGUCGAACGGAAAGGCCCUGCUUUUGUGGGGUGCUCGAGUGGCGAACGGGUGAGUAACACGUGAGUGACCUGCCCUUGACUUUGGGAUAACUUCAGGAAACUGGGGCUAAUACCGGAUAGGAGCUCCUGCUGCAUGGUGGGGGUUGGAAAGUUUCGGCGGUUGGGGAUGGACUCGCGGCUUAUCAGCUUGUUGGUGGGGUAGUGGCUUACCAAGGCUUUGACGGGUAGCCGGCCUGAGAGGGUGACCGGCCACAUUGGGACUGAGAUACGGCCCAGACUCCUACGGGAGGCAACAGUGGGGAAUAUUGCACAAUGGGCGGAAGCCUGAUGCAGCAACGCCGCGUGCGGGAUGACGGCCUUCGGGUUGUAAACCGCUUUCGCCUGUGACGAAGCGUGAGUGACGGUAAUGGGUAAAGAAGCACCGGCUAACUACGU